This 28-nucleotide non-coding RNA is filed under the name Mus musculus (house mouse). The record is from RNAcentral. Lineage: Eukaryota; Metazoa; Chordata; Mammalia; Rodentia; Muridae.
UAGGUACGUACAGCACUGGAUGGAGAGA